GGCAGAUAUGCGUGGCCCAGCAUGCGGGCAGGCCCAGUGGGGGUGCGCAUGUGGGCCAACCUAGCACACACGGGCGCCCAAGGCCCAGUGCCCCUAUGCGGUCCAUCGUGGAUCGUGGGGUGCUGGGCGGUCCAUGGGGCCGCGUGGACUGAACACGCGGUCCACGAGCGGUCUAGGAGAGUUUUUGCAUGAUUCGACGGUCCAGAUUGUAGCCGAUCAUGAUCGGAUGGUUAGAACUCAAUCCGAGCAUGAUCAAGCGUAAUUAAAGGCUAUUUUGCACGAUCAGACGGUUUUGGUAUGAGCCGA
RNAcentral lists this long non-coding RNA (306 nucleotides) under Elaeis guineensis (African oil palm). RNAcentral describes it as "long non-coding RNA (EGUI_LNC069875)". The record is from RNAcentral. Lineage: Eukaryota; Viridiplantae; Streptophyta; Magnoliopsida; Arecales; Arecaceae.